GUUUUUUGGGCUGGGCAAAUCUCUAUCCAGAGAUGUCCAGAAGCAUCCCCUGGUGGCACAGAGACAUGGUCUGGGGUGGUCCAAAAAGGAUUUCUGGGUAUAAUCCCAGCCCCAAAUCCAGUUUUUUAUUGGGGUGCAUACAGUUAGCAGAGUGGCUGGGGUGCUGUCUGUUGGCAACCUGGCAUGGCCAAACGGUGCUUUGGGCCGGGCAAGUCUCUGGUCACAGAUGUCCACGCCAGUCCCCUGGUGAUGCAGAGGUAUUCUGAUGGGUGGCCCAAGCAGAAUUUCUAGCCAUAAUCCCAG
Gavialis gangeticus (Gharial) is the source of this 303-nucleotide long non-coding RNA. RefSeq lists it as uncharacterized. The transcript is spliced from 2 exons. NCBI's taxonomy places the organism in Eukaryota, Metazoa, Chordata, Crocodylia, Gavialidae. The record is from RefSeq and is a predicted model, not a curated record.